RNAcentral lists this ribosomal RNA (253 nucleotides) under uncultured bacterium. Its description in RNAcentral is "partial 16S ribosomal RNA". It matches the Rfam family "Bacterial small subunit ribosomal RNA", at positions 524 to 776 of the family's 1533-position model. The record is from RNAcentral.
GACGGAGGAUGCAAGCGUUAUCCGGAAUGAUUGGGCGUAAAGCGCCCGUAGGCGGCAGUUCAAGUCUGCUGUCAAAGACCGGGGCUCAACCUCGGAAAGGCAGUGGAAACUGAACAGCUAGAGUAUGGUAGGGGCAGAGGGAAUUCCUGGUGUAGCGGUGAAAUGCGUAGAGAUCAGGAAGAACAUCGGUGGCGAAGGCGCUCUGCUGGACCAUAACUGACGCUCAGGGGCGAAAGCGAGGGGAGCGAAUGGG